RNAcentral lists this long non-coding RNA (7128 nucleotides) under Citrus x clementina. RNAcentral's name for it is "Citrus clementina (C. clementina) long non-coding RNA (CCLE_LNC003298)". Lineage: Eukaryota; Viridiplantae; Streptophyta; Magnoliopsida; Sapindales; Rutaceae. The record is from RNAcentral.
CAUAUUUCUCUAGUAAGUAAAAAGCCAAAAAAAUUGGCUUAUUUUAUUAAGUCAAAAUUAUCUAAAAAGUCUCAUUAAGUUAUAAAAACAAACACCUCUAAUUAACUUAAUUAAAACCUCUAAUUAACUUAAUUAAUUAAGUUAAGUUACUUUAAGUCAUUAAGUUAAAAAACAAACGCCACCAAAAUUAAAAUAUUUAAAACGGGUCAUAUUUUUGCCUUUUGAUUAAAAGAAAAAUCAGAUUGGAGAGAGGAAGCUAAAACUGAAGCCAAAUCAACUGCUACAACGUGUAGCAGCAUCUUCAAAUUGCUUUUUCUUCUCUGAAAUGACCAUUUUUUUAAAUUUUUAUUGGGUGUAACAUAGCACUUUUAAUUUUCCUAAUUAAGUGUAUUAUUUAAUUUUUCCCUUCCGACAUUAAUUUUAAAUUUAUCAUAUUUGUUUUAAAUUAGUGCGGUGAAAUUGAUACAACAUGAUUAUCCGAUAAUGAGUGGUGAUAGUUAAAUGUUACUAGUUUAUUGAAUAAAUUGUGUUUGGAUUAUUUUAAAUUUGUCACAAUAUAAAAUUGAGACAAUUCGAAUACGAUUCAAUGACUGUGUAAGUCAGAUUUUAUUUCAACACAGGUCAAUCAUUAGCUUAAUUGGUGGUAAACUUAAAAAAAAAGUUGGUUUCCAUAAUUGGAAAGAGAGAGUCUUAGCUCGUUCACCCGACUCGCGACCUUGACCCAACUCCAGCCACUGAUUCCGGCCACGACUACGGUCGAUACAGGUACCGAUUUGAAGCUUGAGAGACGAGCAAUGUAUCCCUACCAUCCUCAUUGCCGAAAAACGGCCAGAUCACCGGUGAUUUAGCCCAAAACGACCGUGGCUCCACCCAUUUUAGUCGCCGUCGAUUCCACCGGAGUUAGGCCGCACCACCACCUAAAUCUUGUUUCUCAGCUCACCCUCGUCACUUUCCGACCAGCUACAACCACCAACACGUUGUUUUGGCAGCGAACGAUCGCCGGAAAACUCAUGGAUGUGGGAGCGUCGAUCCGCUGCCAUUGGCGCGUGUGGGAGGUCACUGUCGGCACCAUUGGACUGACGAAAGUCUUCUUAAAGACCUGAGCUUCCCGUCGCCAUUGACUGAAGCCUUGUCAUCGUUGACUAGCAAGGGCAAUUCAGUAAUUUCACCAAUUUUGGGGAUAAUCUUAUAAUUUUGAGAAUCGGUCGAUAAUUUAGUAAUUUCGGACUAGGGCAAUUAGGUUAUUUGAGAUUUUGGGAAAAUUCGGUAAUUUAAGUUAUUAAGGGCAUUUUGUUAAUUUCACACUUCGAGGGUAAUUUCAUAAUUUCUAAAUAUUGUGGUUAUUUUUGUGAUUUGAAUUGAGGGCAGAUUGGUAAUUUAGGAUUCUGAGGAUAAUUUGGUAAAUAUUGGUGUUGGGGCAUUUUGGCAAUUUUGGCAUGCAGGGGUAUUUUAGUAAUUUUAUGCAUACGGGAAUAGUUUAUUAUGAAUGAAUAUUCAUUUUGAGCUCUAUUGCAUAAAAUUAGUUGUAUUUCAUAUUUACGGAAAAUGAUUAUGUCGUUUCCUUGAAUUAUGAAGAUCCACAAACGAGAAUCAACCCGCAAACGUUGACGAUACUGAGUUCGAACAUCAUCACUUUGAGUGGAAUAUAUAAAAUCUAUUUUCAUAGUAUAUUUUGAUUUUAUGAUACAAUACAACAUGCUUUGAUAAAUAAGUAUUUGAUGCUUCGAUUUAAUGAUUUUUUUUAAAAUAGAUUUUUAUCUGCGUGCCAAUAUUUAUUAUUAUUAAAAAUGAGUUUGAUUAAUGAUUUUAUUAUCGUUUUUGAGUAAAUGCAUGAUAAUAGAAUUGAGUGGAUUUGAGAUAUGGUAAAUAAAAAGGAAAUGAGAUUUCAAAUGUGAUUUUAUGUUUAUGUACAUGUGUAUAAAAGGUUGUUUGUAAAAUCAUUGGACAGUACUCUUUCCCUCCGGAUAUAGUGAUAUAGAUUAUAUGAGAUGAGAGGCCUUUGGAGCCCGUCUGAAUACACAUAGAGGCUUUGAGCCAUGUGUUUGGGCACUUUUGCCUUUUUGGGGCAUAUGCAUGUGUAUGAUGAUUACAGAGAUACAGACAUUAAUAUACAAAUUAUACGGAUGAGAUAUGAUGAUACAUAUGAGUUAUGAUGAUACAGACGAGAUAUAGGUCUUUCAGAUCCGUCUGAGUACACACAGAGGCUUUGGGCUGUGUGCUUGGGUGCCUUAUCCUUUGGGGACCAGAUUAUACAUGCACAAAUAUGAUGAGAUAUAUGAGAUAUGAGAUGGCAUUUUCCCAUCCAUCCGUUGUAGCUCCAGGGCAUGAUGGUUCCCUGAUUGUCCAUCUGUCGAGGUCCGAAUAUGAUGAGUUUAUUCCCCUGGGUACUCAUUUGAUGAUAGUUUUUGGUAUUUAGUAUUUGAUAUUAUAAGUGUUAUGAUUUAAUUGAUUUUAUGUAGAUUUAUGUAAUAUUGUUAUUUCAGUGCAUGAUUUGAAUUAAAUAAGUUUAUGUAAGUCCUUAUGAUAUUUUGAUGAAAUCGAUUUGAGAAAGAUUAAAUCAUUUUAAAUAAAUUUAUUUUUCAAAAACUACUAUCCACUCACUGAGCUCACUAAAUUUUAUACUUACUCCGUUUUUAUUAUAUCCCCCCCCCCCAACAGAAGAUUUGUAGGUACAUCAAUCGACCCAACAAUGAUAGUUAGAUUUAAAAUUAUGGCCACGUGAUGGUGUUUGGAAUCAUUGAUGUUUUGUUGGGAUAUUUUGAAUUGUAUAAUUUAUUACUUAUUUGUGAUUAAGGAUAAAUUAUUGUAUUAUUAACAUUCUAUGCUUGAAGGAUACUGGUAUUUGAUUGAGGAAGUUGGUUGUGGAGGUUGAUUGAAUAUUGUAUCAUUUUUUUAGUGUUAAUUUUAUAAAUUGCAGGUUUAGGGAUGUCAUAAUUAUAUAGGAGACUCUGGUGAAUUUUUUGUAGAAUUCUUAGAUAUUAGAAUUAUUAUUAAUUCGUUUAGGCGAGAUUAGAUAGACUCGUCCUAGAGAUUCGGGGUGGGUCGUUUCAUUGGGGGCAAAGAAAAUCCGUACUUCUUGAUUUUAAAAAAUUUUGGAUUAAAAAAUUAAUAUUUAUGGUAUUCUUUAAUAAAUAUGACAAAACUAUGGUGCAACGGUGGUACCGUGCCACCGUUGCGCCUACCCGUUGGAUCCCAAUGGAUCCAUCCAUCCAAGUGGAUCCAUCCAUCCAAGUGGAUCCAACGGCUUGAUGCAACGGUGGCACAAGACCACCGUUGCACCGUAGUCGAACCCUAAUAAAUAAGAUUAAUAACUAAAAUUUUGUUAAAGAAUUUGUUUACAACGUGACUAGACUCAUUUGUUUCAAGUGUAUUUCUUUUUUCUUUUUUUGUGCUUAAUAGUUUUCUUGGUGUUUUGGGUGAAUUAAUUUAAAUGGUUUAAAUUUGACAAAGAGCUACAAAGUAAAACUUAAAAUUUUAAAUUUAAUAGAUGAGUGUGCAGAAUGAUAAAAUGUUUGAAAGUAAUUUUUAAAGUACAAAUAGCACCACUCUUCUCUAAUCAUCAUUUUGGGAGAAGAAAAAGACAAAAGAGAAUAUGAAUCUUAAGAUUAUGAAAGUUUCUAUUAAUACAAAGAUCAAAUCGUUGAUCAUAACUAUUAUCUUCCGAGAUUCUCUGGGGAAAAAAAUAAUAGUUUGGCCAAAGCAUGCAUAUUAAUUUCAGUAAUGAGAUUAUCAAAAAAAUAGGCAUUUAAUAUUAGAAACUAAACGGAGAAUUUUCUUCGACUCUGAGGCUCCAUUUGGUACAGCUUAUUAAAUAGAGCUUAUAACAGUAGAGUUUAUACCAAUAGAGCUACCAAUAGUGCUUUUGGACAAAAAGUCAUUAGGUGUUUGGUUGUCAAUAAAAAAAUACUUUUAAACCAUUAAACUGUGUGAUAUUUUUUAUAUUAUAUAUUUUUUAGAAAAGCUCUCUAACCUCUACUUUCAAAAUCUCAAAUUUUGGGCUUUUGCUAGUAGAGGUAAAUUAGCUUAUUUAAGGUAAAAAAAACUCUAUUAAAAAAAUAACCAAAAACCAUAAAAAAUUUUAAAAAGUGCUUACGCGAUUAAAUAAGCACUUAUGGCUCUUAAAUAAGCCAUACCAAACAGGCACUCAACAUAGUUAUUUUAUAUUUAAUUAAUGCAUUAACUGAUUUGUGGCAUACAUGCAUGGCUCUAUACAUAACCAGAUCCUCCAUUAAUUAGAAGAAGUUGUGGCAAAAUUAAAGAUUUUGGCAGUAUGGCAAUACAUAAGCUUCAAAUGGUUGCCCGAGUUCUCUUUCUCGCUUUCUUUUUUGUAUUUAUUUGUGGUAUGUACACUCUUUCACUUUAGUAUUGUUUUUGUUAGUAUUAUUAUUAUUUAUUUUGUUAUACGUUUACAUACUUAAUAAAAAUUAUGCUUUUAAGAUUGUGUUUAAAAUUAUUUUUUUGAUGUAAUUAAAAGCGUUUUUAUAGAUCACGAGAAGUAAUACCAAUAGCUUGAUUUGAUGUGUAAAUAAUUUCUAAUAUAUAUUUUACAAAAUAAACUUUGCCUUGUGUGACGGUUUUAAUCGUUUGAUUGAAAACUUGAAGCCUUACAGUUAUUUGUCUAAAUAUUUUAAAUUCUUAUGAAGUGGAAGUACACAACACUUGUGCCAUAUUUUUUCAUCUAAAUUGUGAUGGCUUCAACUCUGAUAGCUUCAUUGAUCCUAAAAUAUUUUUUCAUCCAAAAAACUUAAAAAAAUGUGUCAUAAACAACGACGAACCACUAAAGUUUCAAGCUGCAGUGUCCUUCACUUGCACCACCAACUUCAUGUACAAAUUCUCAAUCGCAUCAUUUCAGUGCAUACCCAAAAGUUCUGAUUAGAUAAGUACUUCAGUUACACCAUCUAUUAAGCAUGGAUCCUUAAAUGGUAGUUGCCGCUUUGCAUGUACAAGUUACUUUGCUGUGGCAAGAUUUUUCAAUUUUCUAGAGUUUUGAAUGCAUGCGAGAUCGUUAUUAUUUUUGCUUAGUUUAUUUGCAAAUACUCUGUUUCUAUUUCAUGUUUCAGUAACUGCUUUUAAUUGACAUAAUCUACAAACAAUAUUAAUUGAUAGUUAAAGUAAAAAAGUAAUGAUACAGUCAUAAACUCUUGUACAAACUGACGUGACAUUAAUUUAUUGGUUAAAUGAAAUAUAAAAUAAUAAAAACAAAUCAUGUGAGUCAAUUGAUAUUUAAUUCAACCAAUCUUAUCAUGCCACGUCAGCUUGUACAAAUUAAGUUUGUACAAGAGUUUGUGGCUAUAUCAUUACUCUUAAAAAAAUUGAACAAAAUAAUAGUUUGAUUAAAUAUAUGUUCCACUUAAUUAAAAUAUUCUUCUUUAAGAUCAAAAUUUGACACAAAAAAAUUUAAAAAAAAUAACAUACUACUAGCGCCAGUGCAGGGGGAAAAAGAAAAAAAAAACUAAUGCAGUUCUCUAUUAAUGAACUAAACUAUAAAAUUAGGGAUCAAUAUGUUAGGAUUCAUCAAUUAAUCAUUUAUUAAAUCGUUUUUAUCGCCAACCUAAUUUAUCAAGUGAAAGGAAAAAGAUUAUUGUACAACUUGAUUACAAGGAAGUAAACUCACAUUCUUUAAAGAAAGCGAGGAAUUGAAUGCAUUUGUUGCAAAUUUGAAGGAGAAUGGAAUCAAUGUUUGCUUGCAGGGAAGGAUGUUCAUGAAGAUUUUCAAAAUUUCAAGAAAUAUUUUCAACAAAAUUGAACAAUAUAGGGACUUUAUGUGUAAUUCAAGAAAACUCCCUGAACGGUGGGCAAGAACCAACCUUCAAGCCCACAAUCUGACAAUCAUCCUAUAUUAUUAUUUCUAUUUUUCGGGGGCUUAUUCUUGUUGAGAUCCCUUGUAAUUUUUGUUGAUACCAAGCAGAACUCAUUUUUUUAAAAUUUUGUCACCAUUAUUGAAUCUCUAACUCACUAAGCAAACAUAAAUACUUCUUUUUACAUCUUUUCUUUUUUGUUUUCUUUUAUUUGAUUUUUCACUCAAAAUUAAACAAUCAAUUAUCAAUUUACUUUUACAAGCAAAUAAUCAAAAUUUUAACUGCAGAAUUGAAGCAGCCAAGCAAUUUAAAGAGGCUUUGUUCGAUAGAUAGGAGCCAAUACAAUGGCUGAUUUUAUAAUGAAAUUGCUUAUUUUCACGUCCAUGUGCAUUUUAACAAGGAAAAAAAAGUAUGUGCAUUUCUUAAUUUAUUCUUUAUUUAAUUUCCAAAAUAUCUUAUAACAAUUUUCUUUUAAGAAUCCCACUCAUUUUUUCAGAAUCUCAUUCAGAGUAUUGGUUAAUGUAAUGUUUGCUAAUUAAGGAUAUCGAUUUCUAGCACCUUUGAAUGGGCUUAUUGAGAGUAAUAUUUAUUCAUUUGAAUUCCUUUUACAAAAGAUGCUUCAUUAAUAAAAUUUUUCUGGGCUAGGGUGGUAAAAAAUGUAUUCAGUUCGAACUUUACUUAUAUGGAUGAAAGGAGAAUUAAGUUGCUAUCAGACUAUAAUUAAAAAAUAAAAUAAAAAUGGCAAGACAGAAAAUAUGUAAUUUUUGUUGUUUUUAAGUGCUUCCAUGUAAAAGUCUCUACAGCAUAUCCGUGUACAACAAACUUAUAUUGAUACAAUUUUGUACGUAGAAAAUAGUUGAGCUCAAUUUAUUCUUCGCCUUUUCGUAGAUGCUUUUGAGAUGUGGGUUACGGAUUAUGUGCUCCCUUGAAGUACUGCUUCAUCAUCUUUAGUUAUUUUAUCAGUAUCGAUCUUUUGUCAAGUGAGUAGUCAAUCAUAUGUAAUUUUAUUCCAUACGCGGAAACACCUACAGCAACAAAAACCAAACCUUCAUGCAACGUAAAUUUAUUUAAUGGCUAGAUUUGCAAAUACACAUUCGUUGACCAACGAACAUUGAAUUGUCUUUGGCAUAAAAUAGAGUUAUAAUUUAUAUGCUAAUGUUAUUCCCAUUAAUAAUUAAUGCUAUAGGCCUUUAACAGUAUUUGGAUAUAAAUUCAAUAUCUGACUCUUCCUAUCAUAUUGAUUUAUGAGUGAUGCUAUUCUUAUUUAGUUGGAAUACUUAGAGUCUGUUUGGUAUGGCUUAUUUAAGAGUCAUAAGUGCUUAUUUAAUCA